This 586-nucleotide ribosomal RNA is filed under the name uncultured bacterium. RNAcentral's name for it is "partial 16S ribosomal RNA". It matches the Rfam family "Bacterial small subunit ribosomal RNA", at positions 355 to 1375 of the family's 1533-position model. The record is from RNAcentral.
UGGGGAAUUUUGGACAAUGGGCGAAAGCCUGAUCCAGCAAUGCCGCGUGUGUGAAGAAGGCCUUCGGGUUGUAAAGCACUUUUGUCCGGAAAGAAAUCCUUGGCUCUAAUACAGUCGGGGGAUGACGGUACCGGAAGAAUAAGCACCGGCUAACUACGUGCCAGCAGCCGCGGUAAUACGUAGGGUGCAAGCGUUAAUCGGAAUUACUGGGCGUAAAGCGUGCGCAGGCGGUUUGCUAAGACCGAUGUGAAAUCCCCGGGCUCAACCUGGGAACUGCAUUGGUGACUGGCAGGCUAGAGUAUGGCAGAGGGGGGUAGAAUUCCACGUGUAGCAGUGAAAUGCGUAGAGAUGUGGAGGAAUACCGAUGGCGAAGGCAGCCCCCCUGGGCCAAUACUGACGCUCAUGCACGAAAGCGUGGGGAGCAAACAGGAUUAGAUACCCUGGUAGUCCACGCCCUAAACGAUGUUAACUAGUUGUUGGGGAUUCAUUUCCUUAGUAACGUAGCUAACGCGUGAAGUUGACCGCCUGGGGAGUACGGUCGCAAGAUUAAAACUCAAAGGAAUUGACGGGGUCAUAGCUGUUUCCU